UGUAAGUAUGUGAGGUGAUGUACAUGUUAGUAUACACUAAAUAUUCUCACACAGGUUGACUUUACAAGAUAUAGAAUUUGUGUAUUACUGAAGAUUACACUUAUCAUUUAGCAAUUAUUAUUUCUUGACAUGUUUUGACUAUUGCCUAUCUGUCUUCCAGGAGCUUACAAAAUAUUGCUUGAGGUUAGGAAGAAAGACGUCCUUUGAAGAUAAAAGGGCAUCUCCAUUUCCGAACUCACUCUCUAAUUUCAUUUUGUCCUGAUCUAGGUUUUAAAGAUAGGAUACAUUCAAAGAUGGGACAAGACCGUGACAUCAUGCUGAGUUUAGUCCUGAAAGUGAAUCAUAGAAAUUCCUGUUUACCAAGAUAUUCCAUAUUAUCUUCAUUUAAUUGGAAAGAAGACUUGAGAAAAAUAUUGAAAAAAAUGUGAAAUUCUGAGGCACAAAAUACUUUUUGACAUCUGAUGUUAUAAACUUACCCUUGUAGUAAAGCUGCGAUACAUCACAAAUGAAACAUUCAAUAUUCUUUCCAGUAAAUAAACAUCAGUGGUAUUUUGGAAAUAU
RNAcentral lists this long non-coding RNA (561 nucleotides) under Pan paniscus (pygmy chimpanzee). Its description in RNAcentral is "lncRNA (ENSPPAG00000044254.1)". Lineage: Eukaryota; Metazoa; Chordata; Mammalia; Primates; Hominidae. The record is from RNAcentral.